UUAUAUUCCCCACCGGGGGGGAUGAGAACCCCCGACCGGGGUUCGACAACUGGCAACGCCAGUUGGACAGACCGCGAGCCUGCGAGCGGGCUGCCCCGCAGGGGCGAGCGAAGCGAGUCAAUCCCCCCCUCACCGCCA
This 138-nucleotide small RNA is filed under the name Klebsiella pneumoniae. RNAcentral's name for it is "RtT sRNA". It matches the Rfam family "RtT RNA". Rfam says of the family: This family represents a bacterial cis-regulatory element known as RtT RNA. Lineage: Bacteria; Pseudomonadati; Pseudomonadota; Gammaproteobacteria; Enterobacterales; Enterobacteriaceae. The record is from RNAcentral.